RNAcentral lists this ribosomal RNA (465 nucleotides) under Vreelandella stevensii. Its description in RNAcentral is "partial 16S ribosomal RNA". It matches the Rfam family "Bacterial small subunit ribosomal RNA", at positions 338 to 795 of the family's 1533-position model. Lineage: Bacteria; Pseudomonadati; Pseudomonadota; Gammaproteobacteria; Oceanospirillales; Halomonadaceae. The record is from RNAcentral.
CCUACGGGAGGCUGCAGUGGGGAAUAUUGGACAAUGGGGGCAACCCUGAUCCAGCCAUGCCGCGGGUGUGAAGAAGGCCCUCGGGUUGUAAAGCACUUUCAGUGAGGAAGAACGCCUGGUGGUUAAUACCCAUCAGGAAAGACAUCACUCACAGAAGAAGCACCGGCUAACUCCGUGCCAGCAGCCGCGGUAAUACGGAGGGUGCGAGCGUUAAUCGGAAUUACUGGGCGUAAAGCGCGCGUAGGUGGCUUGAUAAGCCGGUUGUGAAAGCCCCGGGCUCAACCUGGGAACGGCAUCCGGAACUGUCAAGCUAGAGUGCAGGAGAGGAAGGUAGAAUUCCCGGUGUAGCGGUGAAAUGCGUAGAGAUCGGGAGGAAUACCAGUGGCGAAGGCGGCCUUCUGGACUGACACUGACACUGAGGUGCGAAAGCGUGGGUAGCAAACAGGCUUAGAUACCCCUGUAGUC